GCAAAAGUUAAUAUCCAUAAGGAUAUUUUUAUGCACAGUGCAUAAGCUGGUGACAGCCAUCCGAUGGUGAUUUUUUUAUGACACGUGUAUGGAUCUGAAGGUCUCACAUCUGACCCUGAGUCACACAGGAUCACAGUCUCAAGCUCUCUCAAGGUCUUACCAUCGCGAUUCUCUCUGAAUCUCGCCGUCUCGCCGUCUCGCCGUCGUCUUCUCCCUUCGUAAUCUCGCCGUAAUCUCGCCGUCAUUCGCCGUCGUUCGCUGUAAUCUCGCCGUAAUCAAAUGGAUUGAUGCAUUAAUUGGAGGUGGGUUACGUGAAGGACAAUUAACUGAACUUGGAAGUAGAAAUACUCACUGUUUGAAUCUGGAAAGACACAUGUAAGAGCUCACUUAUUUUCCAUAAAAUUCAUAUCAUGUGUAGGAGUGUUAAUGUGUUGUAGCAUGUUUGUGAAAUCUGAAAUCUUGACACAAAAUUAUGAAUUGACCAGCAGUAAUUCAAAAGAAGCCCCUUGUGUUGUAGCAUGUGUAUAUAAGCAAUAUCCUUAUAUAUCUAUUGAAGGUGCAUUCAUAUCUAAUGAUUCAAAAAUGAUCUGAAUCAAUACUAGGAAAAAGUAGGAAGAAUGUGAAUUAUUAAGUUCCAUUAAAUCCCAGCCAUAAACUAUAACAUGUGCAUCACAGCAACAAAAGAUCACCAAAGUAACAACAAUGAAAAUAGUUCUGUAAGCUUGGAAAACAUUCUUUGACCAUAUCCUUUAAAUGCCAAAUAGAAAAUAUUACUAGAGGAUUCACAAUUGCAUACUGUGUUCAUACAAGUCAACAAGAUUCUUAUAUAAUUUCUUAUACUUUGGAUGUCUCGACCCCCAUCACAUGAGAAUUGAGAAUAUUGAUCUAUCGUUGCAAUUCCCGAUCCCAAAAAUAAAUAAAAACCUAAGGAAUCAAACACAGGUCCCUGCCACCAUUAUACAGAUGUCUUAUAUAACUAGUUUUACAUAACCAGUUUUUUGCUGAAAAAGAUUCUGAAAAUAUUUACAAAAACUGUGCCAGAUCCUUGCUUCAAUAAUGCAACAGACAUACUUUCUUAAUUGUAUCAGAUAUCCUGCCUAGUAGCUCUUCAAGAUAAUUUGUUUAUUGAAUGACUAUGUAGUUCUUCUGUCUCUUCUAUCAAAAUUUUACUAUGUUAGUUUUAAAUCUCAAGCAGAAAAACCAAAUGGUAAUCAAGGUGGUUCAAAUUAUAUAUAAGGCUCACACAAAUAAACUCUAUCACCUCAUUUCAGCCACUCAAUUUAAAGUUCAAUCUUGCCUUUGCCUUUGGAAAUUGGCUCAAUGUAAAAUUUAGUUUAUUUACUUCAAUCAAAAGGAAAGAAAUCAUUUGCUCAUUAUCCUUAAUGUUUUUUUGUUUUACUAUAUAUAGACUGGAAAGUUGCUUAUGAAGUAUUUACUGUUUAUUGUCCAAGUCAAGUAGGUCAGCAACAGAUUGAAACCAUUAAUAUUGGUAAAUGGUUUCAGUGUAUUACUUACUGAAACCAUAAAACCAUACUUAUGGUUUCAAUGUUAUAUUUCUCUUUUUUUAGGCUUUUAUAUAGUGAAUGUGUUCUUGAUUUUGAUUUUUAUUGAUUCGAUUGUGUUUUUGUAUAGGUUUUGGUUCAAUUGUGUUUUAAAUGGAUUUAACGUCCACUUCAUCUGAAAUUGGUGAUAUUCAUUCGACUGAAGCAUCUGAAUGGUGCUGAUGUAUUGAAAAAAAAGACCCACUUACUGAACUUUUUGCAGACUACUACUUAUGAUAUCUUUGAAGAGUCUUGGUUUUUCUUCUUCA
Molecule: long non-coding RNA, 1810 nt
Organism: Trifolium pratense (red clover)
Lineage: Eukaryota; Viridiplantae; Streptophyta; Magnoliopsida; Fabales; Fabaceae
Exons: 2
Source: RefSeq, a predicted model, not a curated record